GCGAUUGUCACGGCACAUUCCACGGUAGUUUCUUCCAGUUCCGCGACUCGCGGGCCCCUCCUAAUGUCAGGGACUUAAGAUUGGGGCUCGCUGGGACCUGGUGGUCCGGUUAUGGGAAAAGAAGCCUCGUGGGAGAGCAGAGGUUUGGUGGGGCGAGGGCGGCGGCUUUUGUUGUGUCAGCGGAGCCUUCUUGGGCUGGGGCUCCCCUCGUGUCCCGCGGCGGGAGGCGGGGGGCAUUGGGACUUGGUUGGGUCGCGUCUCGCCUGGUUUGAGGGUUUCCGGGGCUCUGAGCUCGCCCACUCCGCCUCCCUGCACUCCAGGCGCGCAGUCACUUUUUUACAGUGCAAGGUUGGCGUGUUAAUCUCCCUGGGCCUCUCCUUGCUGUUCUUUAAAAUGGGGACGUUAGGACCAUCUUUGUAGAAUCGUUUUGGUAACUGGAAUAGGUUACACAACACAAACAGUCCCUGUCACUUGGUGAGUGGUGGUUUCUUGUUACUUUCCCACGAAACCUGUUAGGUCCCCCGGUGGGGUCAGAGCUCCAGCAGCAGGGGCCUCAGCCCUUAUCUCUGAUCCCUGCAGGACGCUGGACGAUCCCGGACGCCUUCUGACCUCUUUUUAGGCAGGCGAGGGUUGCGUCCACUUCCACGAAGGGAGGGGAGCAUUUAACUUUUCUCAGGGACAGCGACCCAGUCAGGAUGUUUCACAGCUUUCUCCUUCCCCAGCCUGAAAAAGGACUGCGCGGACUGACUUCUUGGCUACUGAAAGCAAAGCUCCACUGUUCCAGGCACGAUUCUGCCUUCUCUCAAAUGGCAUAACUCAGGACUCUGCAAAUUCCCAGAAACAGGAGGAAAAAUGACCACAUUCAAGGAGGGACUGACCUUCAAGGAUGUGGCUGUGGUCUUCACUGAGGAGGAGCUGGGGCUGCUGGACCCUGUCCAGAGGAAUCUGUACCAAGAUGUGAUGCUGGAGAACUUCAGGAACCUGCUGUCAGUGGGUGAGGACAUGAGCUUUCUAACACUCAAUGUCAGUCUCUUGGAGUGAUUUUGUGUCUUCAGGGGUUCAACACUUUGGAGGUCUUGAAUUAGUCGCCUACAUUUGUAGACCUGACUUUCCUAUCAGUAGUUUUUAGUGAAAUAAAAUGAGAUAGAAAUAUCAGAGUUCACUAAAAUUAAUGGAAUACAUAGCAAAUAAAACUGGUAAAUUGCAUGAGUGGUGUGAGAACUUGUGGGAGGAGAUUUAAUGAAAAUAAACGGGGGCCAGGCACAGUGGCUCACGCCUGCAAUCCCAGCACCUUGGGAGGCUGAGGCAGGUGGAUCACCUGAGGUCGGGAGUUCGAGACCAGCCUGGCCAACAUGAUGAAACUCUAUCUCUACC
This 1374-nucleotide long non-coding RNA is filed under the name Homo sapiens (human). RNAcentral's name for it is "HSALNT0260468". Lineage: Eukaryota; Metazoa; Chordata; Mammalia; Primates; Hominidae. The record is from RNAcentral.